GGGCCGUUGGAGCAAAUGGGCAGCUCACCCGGUUCUCGCCCGGGAGGCUACGGGUUCGAGUCCCGUACGGCCUAC
This 75-nucleotide transfer RNA is filed under the name Micromonospora sp. AKA38. Its description in RNAcentral is "tRNA-Glu". It matches the Rfam family "tRNA". Rfam says of the family: Transfer RNA (tRNA) molecules are approximately 80 nucleotides in length. Their secondary structure includes four short double-helical elements and three loops (D, anti-codon, and T loops). The record is from RNAcentral. Lineage: Bacteria; Bacillati; Actinomycetota; Actinomycetes; Micromonosporales; Micromonosporaceae.